ACUCAAAGGAAUUGACGGGAGCCCGCACAAGCGGUGGAUUAUGUGGUUUAAUUCGAAGCAACGCGCAGAACCUUACCUGGGUUUGACAUCCUUUGACAAUUCCAGAGAUGGAACUUUCAUAGCAAUAUGACAAAGAGACAGGUGCUGCAUGGCUGUCGUCAGCUCGUGUGGUGGCAUGUCGGGUUAAGUCCCUCAACGAGCGCAACCCCUGUGUUUAGUUGCCAGCAUUAAGUUGGGCACUCUAGACAGACUGCCGUGGUUAACACGGAGGAAGGCGGGGAUGACGUCAAGUCCUCAUGGCCCUUACAUCCAGGGCGACACACGUAAUACAAUGGACGAUACAGAGGGAUGCGAAAUGGUGACAUGGAGCAAAUCUCAAAAAGUCGUUCUCAGUUCGGAUUAGAGUCUGCAACUCGACUCUAUGAAGGCGGAAUCGCUAGUAAUCGCGGAUCAGCACGCCGCGGUGAAUACGUUCCCGGGCUUUGUACACACCGCCCGU
This 499-nucleotide ribosomal RNA is filed under the name uncultured bacterium. RNAcentral describes it as "partial 16S ribosomal RNA". It matches the Rfam family "Bacterial small subunit ribosomal RNA", at positions 899 to 1397 of the family's 1533-position model. The record is from RNAcentral.